Rattus norvegicus (Norway rat) is the source of this 4319-nucleotide non-coding RNA. NCBI's taxonomy places the organism in Eukaryota, Metazoa, Chordata, Mammalia, Rodentia, Muridae. The record is from RefSeq and is a predicted model, not a curated record.
AUAAUCAGACAGGAUUUGAACGUAACCGAGUAUCUACUGCAGGAGAUGCCCCUUCAUUGCUGUGUUGCAGCUUUGGAGUUGCGAUGUUUAAAAAUCGUUGCAUUUUAUCUAUGACUCCAGGUUGCAUUGCCUCCUGUAUGGGAGCCAGGGUUGGGUCAGGUAAGAGGACUUGGAAGACAUAGUUAAUUCAGAAUUUCAGGCUGGGAUCUGCAAAUGGGAGCUCAGCUAAUUGCUCUGCAACACUCUGUGCUUAGCAUGCAGGAGGUCCAAAAAAGCAAAUUAGCUAACAGGGCCUCGGGUGCUGCUUUUAUUCAUCCAUUCUCGUCCGCUCAUUCGUCUGCAUGUUUAAUGAUGGUUCGGUGAGCCUGUACUGUGUCAGGUACCGAGGGAUACAGUGCACAGCCGGCUUCUGCCUCUGACUAGUUUACUCGCCGGCCAUAAGAGGAGAACACUAGAGAUGGAGAGUCAGAUAGCGCGGGUGUAUGGCAGCACAAGAACAUGGAAGAAGGCAUCUGGCCAAGACUGGGGUUUCAGGAAAGACUCCAGGAGGAAGUAACGUCGAAGCUGAGGCAUACAGAGUGAAAGUAGGGGGAGGGAAUUCGAGAAGGAAGAUGGCAGGUGCAGAGUCCCCGGAGUAAAGUGCUGCAUUUGGUACAGAACCACAAGUGUUUCCUAGAUACAUCCAGAUCCCAGGGUUGGAGGGAUUCUCAGAGUGAGGCCAGGCCAGCGAAGAGAGGUCAUGUCUUAAUUGGCUAACUACACUAAAGGGACUGCCAUAUAGACAUACUACGGGCAAUGCAAAGUUGUUAAUGAGUUUUAUCCUGGCAGGAAAAAAAAAACUAACUUGUUGGUUAGGAAGGAAAUCACUUGUUUGGAUUAUAGGGAGUAAAUGAAUAUUAGGACCAGAGAGACCACCGGAAUGGUCUUCUAGAAAGUAUAUGCACUAUAACCUAAACUAAGGUACGGCAGAAGAAAUGGAGAGAAAUGUGUAUAUUUUUAAAAUUCCUUUUAGAGGAACUGGAGAGAUGGUUAAGAGCACUCACUGCUCUUGCAGAGAACCAGGCUUGGUCCCCAGCACCCACAUCUGGUGGCCCAACUAUAAUGGCAUCCUUACAGAGCUGAUGGUUAAUUUACAGGGGGGAAAAGCAGUCUUUUCAAUAUAUGCUAAAAAGAUACUUGUAGCAGUCAAAACUCAUUAAAAAACCCAAAGUAUUAGAAACAUGGUCAAUGUCUCUGCAUUGCGAUACUCUCAUUAAAAUAAAAAUAACACAGGACACCAAGUAAGAAGUUUUUGUCUGGGGCUGGGGAUUUAGCUCAGUGGUAGAGCGCUUACCUAGGAAGCGCAAGGCCCUGGGUUCGGUCCCCAGCUCCGGAAAAAAAAAAAAGAAGUUUUUGUCUGACCUUGUUCUAGAAACAUAGAUGACAGGGAACAGACUGAAGCCGGAAACAAGAAAAGAUGAGGUACACUGAUUACGAGAUGCAAAUAAUCUGAUUAUUUUCCUGUAAAUGCCUGGAGAGAUGGGAACAGUGGCACAUUUGGGAGGCAGAUGCAAGAGAGGCAGAAGUUCAAAGCUGCCUUUGACUACACAGCAAGUUCAAGGCAGCCCCAAACUACAUGAGACCCUGUCUUAAAGACAGUCAGAGAAUGUGCCAAGUAUUAAUUAGCACGUCUCCAAAGUAUCAACUGGAGGGGUUAAGAAGAGCAGGUUAACUCAUCGCUUUGGGGAGGGAGCCUGAGGGCAAGGAGAGGGCGCAGCAGGUGGUUGUCCUUUGUUCAUGCUUGUGUGCUUUAUUUUUCCCCUGUGGUAGAUAUGCGUAGAUUCAGAACUGCCUGAGAGCUUGGUGAUGAGCUGGCUCAGCUGAUGAAGUGCUUGCCAUGCAGGAGUGAGGACCUGAGGUUGGAAAUCUAGCACUCAUAUAAAAAGCCAGGCACAAUGGCCUGUGAGCCCAACCCUGGAACGCAGAGGCGGAAGGGUCCCUGCUGGUCAGCCAGCUGAGUCUGUGGGCUCCAGAUUCAGGGAGAGACUGCCUCAAACAACAAGGUCGAAAGUGAGUGGGGAAGAUGCCUCUGUUGACCUCUGGCCUCCACACACAUACGUAAGCACGCUCUCACAUGUACAACAAGCAGACAUACACCAUACCACACACACACACACACACACACACACACACACACACACACACAACAUAUUAUGACCAAAGUUUUAAAUUUACAAAUAAAAACACAUAUUUUAUGGAAAAGUAGAAAGUCUAUCUGGAAGAAAAAAAUGGUAUAAUGGAAAAAGUCAAUAAUUUUCUUAUUUAUAAAGCCAAGAGCUGUUCUCAAUAUCUGGGGUAGACUUGAAUAGAAAUGUUCAGGAUUCAUGUAGAAAUACUUUGAAACCCUACUGUAGAAUAUAAUAGAAAUUAAAUUAACAUGGCACUGUUUCUUCUUUUCAUGCAGAGACUCAGUAUAGUAAACAUUAAAAAUGUAAGCUGUCUUACUCUAACUACCAGAAUUCAUUUUGGAGCGCGGUAGGACUUUAACAAGCAUAUCUGGAAAAAGGAAAAGCAAAUGCUUGAGCACAGCACCUAACAAGCAAGAAUUUGAGAUGGGCUAGGGUGCUUGCCUCUCUGAGAAUAAUGCAAAGUAUGGAACUGUAAUAAAGCCGGUUACUGCUGGGAGCAGAACAAGACUCUGGAGUCCUGCAAAUGCACAGCUGCCUUGUGAUGGCAGCAGUGGGAUUUCAGACCAGUAAGGAAAAAGAGAUGGUCCAGGUAUGGUGUGACAGCUGACAGACAGGUGAGAAUGUGAUGGUCCAGGUGUGGUAUGGGCAGCUGACAGACACAGGUGAGGAUGCGAUGGUCAAAGUGUGGUGUGGACAACUGACAGACAGGUGAGGAUGUAUUGGUCCAGGUGUGGUGUGGACAGCUGACAGACACAGGUGAGGAUGUGAUGGUCCAGGUGUGGCGUGGACAACUGACAGACACAGGUGAGGAUGCGAUGGUCUAGGUACAGUGUAGACAGCUGACAGUCACAGGUAAGGAUGCGAUGGUCUGGGUGUUGUAUGGACAGCUGACAGACAGGUGAGGAUGCGAUGGGCCAGGUGUGGUGAGGACACUGACAGACAGGCGAGGAUAUGAUGGUCCUAGUGUGAUGUGGACAGCUGACAGACACAGGUGAGGAUGCGAUGGUCCAGGUGUAGUGUGGACAGCUGACAGACAGGUGAGGAUGCAAUGGGCCAGGUGUGGUGUGGACAGCUGACAGACAGGCGAGGAUAUGAUAGUCCAGUUGUGGUAUGGACAGCUGACAGAUACAGGUGAGGAUGCGAUGGGCCAGGUACAGUGUGGAGAGCUGACAGACAGGUGAGGAUAUAUUGGUCCAGGUGUGGUGUGGACAGCUGACAGUCACAGGUGAGGAUGCGAUGGGCCAGGUACAGUGUGGACAGCUGACAGACAGGUGAGGAUGUAUUGGUCCAGGUGUGGUGUGGACAGCUGACAGUCACAGGUGAGGAUAUAUUGGUCCAGGUGUGGUGUGGACAGCUGACAGACAGGUGAGGAUGUAUUGGUCCAGGUGUGGUGUGGACACUGACAGACAGGUGAGGAUAUGAUGGUCCAAGUGUGGUGUGGACAGCUGACAGACACAGGUGAGGAUGUGAUGACCCAGUUGUGGUGUGGACAGCUGACAGACACAGGUGAGGAUGGGAGGUAGUAUGUUUGAAUGUGUGUCCUUGUGUAGAUAGAUUGCAUAUCCCCAUACUGAAGUAAAUCCAAGAUCAAGAAUUGAACAUGAAUAGAACUCUUAGAAGUCACAAGCAAUCUUUUGCAAAGAAUCUUAGAAAGUCUUUUUAACUAUACCUUAACAUCUAAAAUCUGAAAGAUAAUCAGUCCGACUAGAACCUACAAUACAGCUAAAAGCUAUAAAUAAAAUCAACAUAGCUAAAACAAACAAAGAAGUCAGCUUUUGUACACGUAAAGCCAGUGCACAUCAAUUAAAAAAGAAGUCCAGUAGAAAAAUAUUCAGUGUAUUCAUGCCAAAUAAGGUAUUUUCAACCAUUUAGGUUGGUGAAAGCUACACGGUUCGAUAGAUAACCAGCUGGUAUUGGUGAGAGUGUGAUAAACAACCAGGUUGGUAGGUCGUGUGUAAAUUAGUUCAGAAGUCAACCUGGUAGUAUUUCCUACAUUACUUAGGUAUGUGGCAGGGGGCAAGGUGCAUAUAUAUGGAGGUCAGAGGAUACCUUGCAGGAAGAGUCACUUUGAGUCCGAGGGAUCAAACUUGGACAUCAGACUUGAUAUCAAGAGCCUUACCUGCUGAGCCGUCACUCUGGCCCAAGUUGUAA